UGGCGAACGGGUGAGUAACACGUGGGUGAUCUGCCCUGCACUUCGGGAUAAGCUUGGGAAACUGGGUCUAAUACCGGAUAGGACCAUCGUUUAGUGUCGGUGGUGGAAAGUUUUUUCGGUGUGGGAUGAGCUCGCGGCCUAUCAGCUUGUUGGUGGUGUAAUGGCCUACCAAUGCGUCGACGGGUAGCCGGCCUGAGAGGGUGUACGGCCACAUUGGGACUGAGAUACGGCCCAU
This 235-nucleotide ribosomal RNA is filed under the name uncultured Actinomycetales bacterium. RNAcentral's name for it is "partial 16S ribosomal RNA". It matches the Rfam family "Bacterial small subunit ribosomal RNA", at positions 96 to 334 of the family's 1533-position model. The record is from RNAcentral. Lineage: Bacteria; Bacillati; Actinomycetota; Actinomycetes; Actinomycetales.